This 73-nucleotide transfer RNA is filed under the name Balaenoptera musculus (blue whale). It matches the Rfam family "tRNA". Rfam says of the family: Transfer RNA (tRNA) molecules are approximately 80 nucleotides in length. Their secondary structure includes four short double-helical elements and three loops (D, anti-codon, and T loops). Further hydrogen bonds mediate the characteristic L-shaped molecular structure. tRNAs have two regions of fundamental functional importance: the anti-codon, which is responsible for specific mRNA codon recognition, and the 3' end, to which the tRNAs corresponding amino acid is attached (by aminoacyl-tRNA synthetases). tRNAs cope with the degeneracy of the genetic code in two manners: having more than one tRNA (with a specific anti-codon) for a particular amino acid; and 'wobble' base-pairing, i.e. permitting non-standard base-pairing at the 3rd anti-codon position. RNAcentral also lists the same sequence under 1 other name. The record is from Rfam by way of RNAcentral. Lineage: Eukaryota; Metazoa; Chordata; Mammalia; Artiodactyla; Balaenopteridae.
UCCCUGGUGGUCCAGUGGCUAAGACUCUGUGCUCCUAAUGCAGCGGGCCCGGGUUCGAUCCCUGGUCAGGGAA